GUGGGGAAUCUUCCGCAAUGGACGAAAGUCUGACGGAGCAACGCCGCGUGAGUGAAGAAGGUUUUCGGAUCGUAAAGCUCUUUCGUUAGGGACGAACGUGCUCUUUGUGAAUAAUGAGGAGUAAUGACGGUACCUAAAUAAGAAGCCACGGCUAACUACGUGCCAGCAGCCGCGGUAAUACGUAGGUGGCAAGCGUUGUCCGGAAGUAUUGGUCGUAAAGCGCGCGCAGGCGGGAUAUCAAGUCUGUCUUAAAAGUGCGAGGCUCAACCUCGUGAGGGGACAGAAACUGGUAUUCUUGAGUGUCGGAGAGGAAAGUGGAAUUCCAAGUGUAGCGGUGAAAUGCGUAGAGAUUUGGAAGAACACCAGUGGCGAAGGCGACUUUCUGGACGAUGUCUGACGCUGAGGCGCGAAAGCUAGGGGAGCGAACGGGAUUAGAUACCCGGGUAGUCC
This 450-nucleotide ribosomal RNA is filed under the name uncultured bacterium. Its description in RNAcentral is "partial 16S ribosomal RNA". It matches the Rfam family "Bacterial small subunit ribosomal RNA", at positions 354 to 796 of the family's 1533-position model. The record is from RNAcentral.